GACGAACGCUGGCGGCGUGCUUAACACAUGCAAGUCGAACGGAAAGGCCCUGCUUGCAGGGUACUCGAGUGGCGAACGGGUGAGUAACACGUGGGUGAUCUGCCCUGCACUUCGGGAUAAGCCUGGGAAACUGGGUCUAAUACCGGAUAGGAGCCAUUUUUAGUGUGAUGGUUGGAAAGUUUUUUCGGUGUAGGAUGAGCUCGCGGCCUAUCAGCUUGUUGGUGGGGUAAUGGCCUACCAAGGCGGCGACGGGUAGCCGGCCUGAGAGGGUGGACGGCCACAUUGGGACGGAGAUACGACCCAGACUCCUACGGGAGGCAGCAGUGGGGAAUAUUGCACAAUGGGCGCAAGCCUGAUGCAGCGACGCCGCGUGGGGGAUGACGGCCUUCGGGUUGUAAACUCCUUUCGCUAGGGACGAAGCUUUUGUGACGGUACCUAGAUAAGAAGCACCGGCUAACUACGUG
Molecule: ribosomal RNA, 464 nt
Filed under: uncultured bacterium
Lineage: Bacteria
Description: partial 16S ribosomal RNA
Rfam family: Bacterial small subunit ribosomal RNA
Source: RNAcentral